Molecule: ribosomal RNA, 253 nt
Filed under: uncultured bacterium
Lineage: Bacteria
Description: partial 16S ribosomal RNA
Rfam family: Bacterial small subunit ribosomal RNA
Source: RNAcentral
UACGUAGGGGGCAAGCGUUAUCCGGAUUUACUGGGUGUAAAGGGUGCGUAGGUGGCAUGGUAAGUUGGAUGUGAAAGCCCAAGGCUCAACCUUGGGAUUGCAUCCAAAACUGCCAAGCUAGAGUGCAGGAGAGGAAAGUGGAAUUCCUAGUGUAGCGGUGAAAUGCGUAGAUAUUAGGAGGAACACCAGUAGCGAAGGCGGCUUUCUGGACUGUAACUGACACUGAGGCACGAAAGCGUGGGUAGCAAACAGG